This 29-nucleotide non-coding RNA is filed under the name Mus musculus (house mouse). The record is from RNAcentral. Lineage: Eukaryota; Metazoa; Chordata; Mammalia; Rodentia; Muridae.
UGAGUUACCAAGAGAAUGACAGACUUAAC